This is a non-coding RNA of Phthorimaea operculella (potato tuberworm), 76 nucleotides long. The record is from the annotation of a GenBank genome assembly. NCBI's taxonomy places the organism in Eukaryota, Metazoa, Arthropoda, Insecta, Lepidoptera, Gelechiidae.
ACCGCGGUAGCCCUGUUGGUAGUGGCGUGGGCAGUACAAAUGCCGAAGGUCGCAGGUUCAAAUCACGCCUGCGGUG